AACGAACGCUGGCGGCAUGCCUAACACAUGCAAGUCGAACGAGACCUUCGGGUCUAGUGGCGCACGGGUGCGUAACGCGUGGGAACCUGCCUUUAGGUUCGGAAUAACAGUGAGAAAUUACUGCUAAUACCGGAUGAUGUCUUCGGACCAAAGAUUUAUCGCCUUUAGAUGGGGCCCGCGUUGGAUUAGCUAGUUGGUGGGGUAAAGGCCUACCAAGGCGACGAUCCAUAGCUGGUCUGAGAGGAUGAUCAGCCACACUGGGACUGAGACACGGCCCAGACUCCUACGGGAGGCAGCAGUGGGGAAUAUUGGACAAUGGGCGAAAGCCUGAUCCAGCAAUGCCGCGUGAGUGAUGAAGGCCUUAGGGUUGUAAAGCUCUUUCAGUGGGGAAGAUAAUGACGGUACCCACAGAAGAAGCCCCGGCUAACUCCGUG
This 434-nucleotide ribosomal RNA is filed under the name uncultured bacterium. RNAcentral describes it as "bacterial SSU rRNA". It matches the Rfam family "Bacterial small subunit ribosomal RNA", at positions 29 to 507 of the family's 1533-position model. The record is from RNAcentral.